RNAcentral lists this ribosomal RNA (433 nucleotides) under uncultured bacterium. Its description in RNAcentral is "partial 16S ribosomal RNA". It matches the Rfam family "Bacterial small subunit ribosomal RNA", at positions 29 to 507 of the family's 1533-position model. The record is from RNAcentral.
AACGAACGCUGGCGGCAGGCUUAACACAUGCAAGUCGAGCGCAUCCUUCGGGGUGAGCGGCGGACGGGUGAGUAACGCGUGGGAACGUGCCCUCUUCUACGGAAUAGCCUCGGGAAACUGAGAGUAAUGCCGUAUACGCCCGCAAGGGGAAAGAUUUAUCGGAGGAGGAUCGGCCCGCGUUGGAUUAGGUAGUUGGUGGGGUAACGGCCUACCAAGCCGAUGAUCCAUAGCUGGUUUGAGAGGAUGAUCAGCCACACUGGGACUGAGACACGGCCCAGACUCCUACGGGAGGCAGCAGUGGGGAAUCUUGGACAAUGGGGGCAACCCUGAUCCAGCCAUGCCGCGUGAUCGAUGAAGGCCUUAGGGUUGUAAAGAUCUUUCAGCUGGGAAGAUAAUGACGGUACCAGCAGAAGAAGCCCCGGCUAACUCCGUG